Dendronephthya gigantea is the source of this 724-nucleotide long non-coding RNA. RefSeq lists it as uncharacterized. The transcript has 2 exons. The record is from RefSeq and is a predicted model, not a curated record. NCBI's taxonomy places the organism in Eukaryota, Metazoa, Cnidaria, Anthozoa, Malacalcyonacea, Nephtheidae.
CAUCACGCCAGUGAAAGAAACAAUACUCAAGGUUGAAACUACAGAGUAGAAGAACAAACACACGCAAGUAACAUUCGCAAUUAUUCAAACAAUCAAGCAAGCAUCAUGAAUGUUCAAUUUCUGAUCACAUUGGUUAUUGCACUGGGGCUUGUAACCAGUCUGGAAGCGGUUUGCUGCAAAAGAAAAGGCAAUUUCUUAUGCUGUGGAAAUGGGAAAUGCAAUAUAUUCUGCUGUAAUUGUGAUGGCGGUUGCAAUGAGCAAUGCGAAUCUACUCAUUGUAGCACAAGCGACUGGGUAAAGUGUGCUGGUGCCAUUGCCGGAUGUGCUGGUGUCUGUUCUCUUUCUGAAAUCGACUUGCCAGCGUGUAUUGCGUGUCUCGGCCCAGCGUAUUCGACAUGUAAGAAAUGCUACACAUCAAAUGUAAGCAAAGGCAGAGCUAUCAACGAUACUAUGUACAUGAUGGAGGCUUAUCACAAGGAAUUAUACCACUAUAAUGCGGAUACUCCGUUGGCAGCCAAUCCUGAUCUGCUCGGAAAGAUUAAUAGAGAUGAACUUUAAGCAUCUAUAAAUUUAGUACAUUUUUAACAUACUGAUAUUAUGACUGCUUUGCUCUUUAUUCUUUUUAUAUUUUUUGAUACAAUGUAACUAUUAUGAUUUGAGGCAUUAUUGUACCAAGUUGAAAUAAAUGUUGGUGAAAAUCUUAGAACAAGAUUUCACGAAACCA